This is an RNA transcript of Oryzias melastigma (Indian medaka), 1103 nucleotides long. RefSeq lists it as uncharacterized. The record is from RefSeq and is a predicted model, not a curated record. NCBI's taxonomy places the organism in Eukaryota, Metazoa, Chordata, Actinopteri, Beloniformes, Adrianichthyidae. The transcript has 4 exons.
AGAACAUCACAUCACGGCAGCGGUCCUCCUGGACGGAACGAUGUGGCUCCUCGGCUCGGUUCUGUUCGUCGUUCUGGUCGGUUCAUCCGUGUCACAACCUCAGGCGAAUUCACCUGCAUUGUAUUUAGCCUAACAGUGUGUUUCCAUCACACUGACGACUGAAGACUCUGGAAGAUACGAGUGUAGAGUCUUAAGACAAGGAUCCAGAUAGACAUUGGAAUCUGAUCUCCAUCAUCAACCUGACAGUGACUCCUCCAGGUGUGUUCAAGUCUGCUGAACCUGGAGAGAACGUCACUCUGAGAUGUGGAGAUACAAACAUCAACAAGGAUUUGGAUCUACAGUGGAGGAGACUUAACGAGGAGUGGAAUAAAUAUGUGUUUUUCUACUGGAAUAACAGUGUUCAUCUUGACGGUCAGCAUGAAUCUUUCAGGAACCGAGUGUUUCCAGAGGACAGUCAGAUGAAGGAUGGAGAUUCUGUGGUUCUGACAAACGUGACCAUUAAUGACAAUGGAAUAUACCAGUGUUUCAUCAGUAAACACGAUGGUCUAUAUAGAGGAUGGAAGAUGAUCCUCAGCAUCGAGCUGGUGGUGUUUCCUAAAGGAGAGAAAGAUGGAGGAGGAGAUAAAGAUGGAGGAGGAGUCAAAGAUGGAGGAGGAGUCAAAGAUGAAGGAGGAGUCAAAGAUGGAGAGAUCAAGGAUGGAGUAAAAGAGGAGGAAAGAAGAUCUAGUCAAGGAGUUCUUCUUGGGAUGGUUCUGUCAGGUCUUCUUCUUGCAGUUCUGGUUCUGGUUGUUGGUCUGUGGAUCUCCAAGAAUCAAAAAGGUUCAAACCAAAGUUCCAGAGGUUCCAACAAUCAUCGGAAUCCUGACGGUGAUCUUCUGAACUCGGAGAGAAACACAGAACCUGUAGUGUGAUUCUGGAAUGAGAGCAGAGCUCCGCCCACUCCGUCACUUCUGUUAAUUAUUGCUUAUUUUACUGUAAAGAUGGCCGCUUUAUUUACUCUGCUAUGCUAAUCAGCUGUUCUGUUUGCUAGCAUGCUAAAGCGCCGUUGUUAACCUUCAUUUAACCACAUUUGACGGAUAAAUACGACAAAAUCAAACGAUCAG